GGGGGGGGGGGGGGGGGGGGGGGGGGGGGGGGGGGGGGGGGGGGGGGGGGGGGGGGGGGGGGGGGGGGGGGGGGGGGGGGGGGGGGGGGGGGGGGGGGGGGGGGGGGGGGGGGGUGGGUCUGGGUCUGGGUCUGGGUCUGGGUUUGGGUCUGGGUCUGGGCUUGGACAUGGACAUGGGGGGCACUGGGUGCUGCUCCCCAUUUGUGUAACGAGCUCUUCACUGUUCCUUACCACUGAGCCACACACAGAACAGGAAAAUCAGCUCCAUCCACCCCCCCAGGCUUUUAUGUUACUUUGCUUUUGGGGUAUUUAAUUUUCAAACAGGUGCUGCCUUUGCCACAGGCCUUCCACCCUCUUUGGGUGUAUUUCCCACCCCAGGAAAAGUCCAUGGGAAAAUCACAGCAGCCAAACAGACCCAACAGAGCAAAAGGUUUGUAGCUUUGCCAGUGGAGAGCUGAGGCUUCACCCAGAGCAGGGCACUGCUGUUCACCACCACCCCUCCCCUGCCCUGAGUCAAGGCCCCAGGGCAGGGGCCUUGCCUGACCCCUUGGACCAGGCUUUGAGUGAGUUUUGAGUGAGCUUUGGGUCACCCUGAAAAUCACCACAUUGCCCGAUUACCACAUUGUUCCAGAGCCUGCACUUGUCCCUGGCAAGGGUUCAGCUUUUCCUGAACUGCAGCUUAAAAAGGAAAAAUUGAGGCUGGAUCUGAGUCAAAUGUUCCCCCAGGUUUUCUCUCUCCCCUCCCGUUUCCAUGAGAGGUGUGUGAUCCAAAGGAGCACAGGCGGUGGGUGGUUCCAGGGGUGUCACCUCAAACCCUGGGGGCUGAUGCUGCAACAGGAAAUAUGUCCAUGGUUGAACAGGAAUAUGUGCAGGCUGAUAAUAAGCUGUCCAUCUAUAUAACCAUUCUGCUGACACAAAUCAUGAUGGAUAUGGAAAGAAAUAAAAUGCAAAUCUAAUGAGACACUGCUCAGAAUGAGACAAAAAAAAAAUAGAACCAUAUUCUUUAAUCAUCAAUGUGCAAAGCCAACCAGAAUGACUUUGUUUCAAG
Molecule: long non-coding RNA, 1048 nt
Filed under: Ficedula albicollis (Collared flycatcher)
Lineage: Eukaryota; Metazoa; Chordata; Aves; Passeriformes; Muscicapidae
Description: lncRNA (ENSFALG00000024692.1)
Source: RNAcentral